CAAAUUAGAUCUUGAAUAAGUUUUUUAUUUACAUUAAAAAGAUAAUUAUUGAAUUAAUUUAAUUUGA
Molecule: transfer RNA, 67 nt
Filed under: Cleridae sp. 2 ACP-2013
Lineage: Eukaryota; Metazoa; Arthropoda; Insecta; Coleoptera; Cleridae
Description: tRNA-Val
Source: RNAcentral